Molecule: ribosomal RNA, 449 nt
Filed under: uncultured bacterium
Lineage: Bacteria
Description: bacterial SSU rRNA
Rfam family: Bacterial small subunit ribosomal RNA
Source: RNAcentral
ACGGGGUGCGGGGGCAACUUCGCAUUCAGUGGCGAACGGGUGCCCUUUUGCAUCGGAACGUGUCCCGUAGUGGGGGAUAACCCGGCGAAAGCCGUGCUAAUACCGCAUACGCUCUGUGGAGGAAAGCAGGGGACCCUGGAAGGGGCCUUGUGCUAGGGGGGCGGCCGAUGUCCGAUUAGCUUGUUGGUGGGGUAAUGGCCCACCAAGGCUGCGAUCGGUAGCUGGUCUGAUAGGAUGAUCAGCCACACUGGGACUGAGACACGGCCCAGACUCCUACGGGAGGCAGCAGUGGGGAAUUUUGGACAAUGGGGGCAACCCUGAUCCAGCCAUGCCGCGUGCGGGAAGAAGGCCUUCGGGUUGUAAACCGCUUUUAGCCGGGACGAAUAGGGCACGGAUAACACCCGUGUUUUUUGACGGUACCGGCGGAAUAAGCUCCGGCUAUCUACGUG